UACGAUAGGCUAAUUAAGGGCGUAUGGGGAAUGCCUAGGCUCUCAGAGGCGAUGAAGGACGUGAUAAGCUGCGAAAAGUUACGGGGAAUGGCACACACAUUUUGAUCCGUAAAUAUCCGAAUAGGUCAACCUGAUUAUUUGAAGAAUAAUCAUCCAUCUUGUAUGGAAGCAAACCCGGAGAACUGAAACAUCUAAGUACCCGGAGGAAGAGAAAACAAUAGUGAUUCCGCUAGUAGUGGCGAGCGAACGUGGAAUAGCCCAAACCUAAGUUGUUACGGCAAUUUAGGGGUUGUAGGACCAUAAUAUUUGUUGCUCAAUGAAUUAGAAUCUGUUGGAAAUCAGAACCAUAGAGGGUGAUAGUCCCGUAUAAGUAAAGAAAGUUAACAAUAAUGGUAUCCUGAGUAGUACGGGGCACGGGAAACCUUGUAUGAAUCCGGCGGGACCAUCCGCCAAGGCUAAAUACUCCUGAGAGACCGAUAGUGAACUAGUACCGUGAGGGAAAGGUGAAAAGAACCCUGAAUAAGGGAGUGAAAUAGAUCCUGAAACCAUACGCUUACAAGCGGUCGGAGCCCAUUAGGGUGACGGCGUGCCUUUUGCAUAAUGAGCCUACGAGUUAACGUUGCUAGCAAGGUUAAGUACUUUAGGUACGAAGCCGUAGCGAAAGCGAGUCUGAAUAGGGCGAUUCAGUUAGCAGUGUUAGACGCGAAACCGUGUGAUCUACCCAUGGGCAGGGUGAAGCUGUGGUAACACACAGUGGAGGCCCGAACCCGUAGACGUUGAAAAGUCUUGGGAUGACCUGUGGGUAGGGGUGAAAGGCCAAUCAAACUCG
RNAcentral lists this ribosomal RNA (829 nucleotides) under Flavobacteriaceae bacterium. Its description in RNAcentral is "partial 23S ribosomal RNA". It matches the Rfam family "Bacterial large subunit ribosomal RNA", at positions 1 to 841 of the family's 2925-position model. The record is from RNAcentral. Lineage: Bacteria; Pseudomonadati; Bacteroidota; Flavobacteriia; Flavobacteriales; Flavobacteriaceae.